AGCCCUGUGGCUGCUGGGGUAGUCCAGCCCUGGCCGUCCUUCUCAGAAGUCAGCCUGUCUCCCAGCCAGACCCUUUCAGCUCCCUCUGCCUGAGGACUGUAACUUCCUUGUUACAUCAUGCUCACUGUUAAGUCACAAUUGGGCUGAAAGCAGAGCCUGGCCAAGCCGCCAGGCACUCAGGGGCAGCCUGCCUGCUCAAUCCAGGUGGCUUCACAUGGCCACAGGUGCACAAUGAAGUACCCUCUGGUGCCGCUGGUGAACGACCUCACGCUCUCUUUCCUGGUGUUCUGGCUCUGCCUGCCCGUGGCUUUGCUGCUGUUCCUGAUGAUCCUCUGGUUACGAUUCUUACUCAGUCAAGAGUCGAAGGAAGAUUAUUCAGAUUUAUGUUUCAACUGGGAGCCCUGGAGCAAAAGACCUUCUGAGUCUGGCCAUGAGGAGACAUUCUGUGACUAUGAGGACAGGCACUACUGGUGAGCCUGUUCUACCUGCUUAUCAUGGCUGGCUCCUACAGUCUGAAGAUUCGGUAGAGCUAAGAACUAGUGACUGGCUGCUCUGCUUCUCUGAUCUUCAGGUAUCAUCUGGGCCCAAGUGGAUGGUAGAAAGAGAACACUGGAGACCAAGGAGCCUUCCUGGGACCUCCAGUGGUCAGACCUACCAAGCCUGUUGCCGAAUCAUCCGUCCUCCAUCAACACAGAUGACCUGAAGUCUUUCAGAGAAGAGUCAGGCCCAAGGAGUUUAUAGGGGACAGCUGGCCAGCUCAACUCCCAGGAGGUGUGGGGUCCCUAUUAAAGAAAUGGGGUUCUUCUGUGCCC
Microtus ochrogaster (prairie vole) is the source of this 812-nucleotide RNA transcript. It is a transcript of the gene named adipogenin, with no coding region annotated. The transcript is spliced from 4 exons. The record is from RefSeq and is a predicted model, not a curated record. NCBI's taxonomy places the organism in Eukaryota, Metazoa, Chordata, Mammalia, Rodentia, Cricetidae.